Molecule: long non-coding RNA, 481 nt
Organism: Anopheles bellator
Lineage: Eukaryota; Metazoa; Arthropoda; Insecta; Diptera; Culicidae
Exons: 3
Source: RefSeq, a predicted model, not a curated record
GCAUUUUGCUGAAGCAUGUGAGGAAAUUGAACAUUGGCAUUCCAUCGGAUUCUUUCCCGUAACCGCAACCGCACAUCAUCGAUCAUCAUCGAUCACCACCGGCUGGAUCAUCGCGCACAUAUCAUAUGCAAAACAUCGUGGGAUUUCGAUUAAGAAUUUUUAGAUCACCCCGAUUCGUGUGAUGUGAAAUCAUCAUCUCAACAACACAAAUUAGCAGAAGCAACAGCAGCAUCCACAGCAGGGCGGUCGGCACCUCUUCACGGUCACCAUCCGGGGCAUCAUCAUUUCACGCACCAAAUGCAUCAUCCGAGGACCAGAAUACACUGCAGAUCUACGCCGCCUUCCGCCGCUUCUGCUCCGUUGCACUGUUGAAUGCUCUUCUAUUGUUUUCUUCAAUCUUCAUCUCCGGCUCACUAUCGAUCUGGUAGUAUCGAUCAUCCUCGAUCGAACCAACGCGAGCUCGGUCCUUCUUCGAGAUCGG